RNAcentral lists this non-coding RNA (204 nucleotides) under Syntrophaceticus schinkii. Lineage: Bacteria; Bacillati; Bacillota; Clostridia; Thermoanaerobacterales; Thermoanaerobacterales Family III. Incertae Sedis. The record is from RNAcentral.
GAAACGAUAACAGGACUAAAGUACCCAGAUACUUACCUCAGAGAGGAGAGUGCUGUGGCUGAAAGCCUCUCCGGUAAUCAGGUCUGGAGAAGACCAGCCUGCGCAUUUUUUUUGUUCGGCUGCACACCGUUAGCUGUGCAACACGAGUGAGCGAAAGUUUUUUCGCUAAUCGGGGUGGAACCACGGGAAGGCCUCGUCCCCUUA